ACAGUCCAGGUCUCCAGAAAUAAACUAUUUCAAAAGACAUGAAAAUCUGAAAGGUGUGUUCUGUUGUGUUAACUAAUUAUUGUGGAAAGUAGAAAUCACAGUGGUGGUGAUGAUGAUGAUUGAUCGGUACUGGUAUCAGCAGUAAUGGCGCUGUGCGCACUUGGUAUCAGAUCGAUAACUACAGGCCGGGUCGCCUCCACAGGGGUGUGUCUGUGCCGAGCAGGGGGUCAGAAACUAUCCAACUGACUAGUUUUUUACAGCUUUGAGAGAUUUUUGCAGACAGUGAAGUUAACAUGAGAAAUAUUUGAAGGCCUGGAUCUUCUUGUUUGCGUCAUCAUUUAGCAGCCAAAACUCUCGGUCGGCAUCUUUGGCUGACUUUACCUCAUUUGUUCAAUAGACCAGCAAAAUAUAAAAAUGGUGUAAAUGGGCGUGACCUUUACCCUUUCUUCUUCUUUUAAAAUUUUUUUUAUUCCAUGCCUCUCUGUUAUCUAAAUAUCAUAAUCACAGAGGUGACUGUUGGGUUAAUUCUCACACUCGUCGGCGUAUGCGGGGCAUGAUUAAACAUCCUCGCCGACAAGUCAUUUGGGUGAGAACAAAAUUGGAGGCUGAGGCUGGCAUUAGCGGACCGAAGUCUUAGAGAGAUGAUGGCGGGGCGGGAUGGGUGAGAUGAGAAACACAGCACCUGGAGACUAAUUAGAUAUGACAUCCAGAGCCUGCUAUCAAUUUGUACCCUGCGCACACGAGCCCGGCCAGGACCGACCUCGACCAAGGGCGAGGCGGCGAGGGGGGCAAAUUAAAGGCCUGAGGUCGUACGCUGUGACGAGGUGCUGCCUGUUGUCCUCGCGUGCUCUGUCUUUGUCUUCAGGAGGAAGUGUGUGCUUUGCAGCCCAGUUCAAAUGACUAGAAGAUUGUAACUCAUCCCUGAACAUCGGCCAGAGCCAGAAAGCUGCAGCUCACCUGCAGAUGCUUCAAAUCGCUGCAGACUUUCUAACAAGGACAAAGUGCAGGUAGCACUUUACUCCAGUGCUGAGCCUCUCUCCGCUGGCAGCGACUACUGAUGUGCCUGGAGCUGCGCUGAAGAAGAAACUUUCCCAAGACACCAAUUUUAUCUUCACCCAUGAGCUGGCGCUUGCCUUCAUUUCAUUACCAAGGGAUCGGUGUUGGCUUAAUAACAUCAGGCCUGAAAUGUGCCCCUUUAACCCAAAUCAAGGCAGUGCUGGGGCACGAUACAGUCCAUCUACUUUCAUAACAACAUUUGGGAUGGCAUUCUCAGGAGGCUCCACUUAUCUUCUGCGUGUGCAUAUCAGUCAUUAGUUCAGCCUAAAAUAGUCUGCAGGGGCCACAUUAAAGAGAAAUCGUUGGAAAUGUAGCCUGAAGUUAACCUCGGGGAGUAAGAAGUCUCUGCAGAAUCAGAGCGGCUCUUCUUCAACUGUUAGAGGUAGCUGGAGUCACGUUACCCGUAACGCACCACAUCUCAUGGUUGAAUAAUGUUUGUACACACAGUGAAGUGCAUUCUUUCUAACAGCCAGCAGGGGGCGAAUCCCCUGACAGGUAAAAGAAUUCCUAAUUGUUGGCACGAAGAUCAGAAAAAGACUCUACUUCUCGUUUAGUUAAAGACGUGAUUAAACACACUCCUUGUCUUGAAAUGUUAAAUUAUGGUCUCAUGAAGAGCAAAGUAAGAGUCAGAUUCAGUUUACUGUCAUUGCAAUGAAGGCAGCAAAACAACAGAAUCACUCUGGGACCCACUGACGUGCAAAAUUUAAAGAUUUGUGCAAAAUGCAAAUCAUUUGAGUAUGCACAUAAAAAUAAAUAAGUGCAAAGAUAAGAAAAUUAUAAAACACAGUUUAGAAGUGCAGUUCACGAUCGUAUGUGCAGUUUAACGAUGUGACAUUAUCAGACAUCAGUUGUGUGUAGCAGCAGCAUUUAUUGAGUGUAAUGAGCCGUGAUGCUGUGUGCAGGUUGCGAUGUUUCCUGGAUGAUCAUGGAGGCCCCGCUGUAGUAGCGUGCCUCAUAUUUAUCCUCGCCUGAUGGCAGUUUGGUCCUGAUGACUUUUUGUGCCACCUUGAUGACCCUCUGCAGCGCGUUCUGGUCCUUCCUGUUGCUGCUCCCAUACUGGGACAGUUUUCCAGCAGACUUUGUUGGAAGUCCAGCCGCUGGUUUGCCGUCCUGCCUCUUCAUUGACGUACAGAGGACCUCGUCUGUUCUCUUGGACCGUCUGAAGUCUAACACAAUCUCCUUGGGUUUCAUCAUUAAGCGCACUUCACGAUAUCAUCACUAUGUGAUUGACGGGUUGCUUUUGUAUGUGCAUGUAUGUUCACGCAUUACAAGUGGAAUAAAAAACCCUCAAAAUGAUCUCAAUACAGAAAUCAAGGCUUUAAAAGAUCAGUGCUCUUUGCUCCAGUUGCUUUGUAUGAAUACCGGUCACAGAGGGGUCGGUGUGAGCGCAAGUUUAAGGUUCCUGCUUCUGUGACAUCAUCCAGACUCUGGGUUGGAAGUUAAUAAAAAAAUGAAGUGAAUGCGUCAGGGUCCUUAUUGCUUUUGGUGCAUUUUAUAUGUGCAUUUUUCUGGGAAUAAUCGAGCUGGGCGAUGGAAGCCUUUUUUCUCAUAU
This is a long non-coding RNA of Oreochromis niloticus (Nile tilapia), 2608 nucleotides long. RefSeq lists it as uncharacterized. Lineage: Eukaryota; Metazoa; Chordata; Actinopteri; Cichliformes; Cichlidae. The record is from RefSeq and is a predicted model, not a curated record. The transcript is spliced from 4 exons.